RNAcentral lists this non-coding RNA (67 nucleotides) under Spodoptera frugiperda (fall armyworm). Lineage: Eukaryota; Metazoa; Arthropoda; Insecta; Lepidoptera; Noctuidae. The record is from RNAcentral.
UUGCACUUGCGACCACUAGGCAGUUAACCAUAAAAAAAACAUUUGUCAAGUGAUUACAAAUGCGACU